Molecule: long non-coding RNA, 1480 nt
Filed under: Homo sapiens (human)
Lineage: Eukaryota; Metazoa; Chordata; Mammalia; Primates; Hominidae
Description: non-protein coding lnc-UBE2I-4:1
Source: RNAcentral
UGUUAAAGGACAGCCGUUCCGUUCUCCGGCCAGGUCUCCUCCCUCACCCUCACCUGGGACACCCACCGUCCUUGGGAAUGAAGGGUUCACUUCUCGGUGCCUGGAGCCUGUUCUCCUCUUUGGCCCAAAACGUCCACCCCCCCGAAAUAACCCCAAGUGCCCUUACCCCCGUGACGGCCUCGGCUGCAAGAACCAGCUCCAGGAGAGUGCAAGUCACCAGCCAGGGGGCAACAGACACAAGCCCAGGAUGCAAGGAGCGGCCCCGGUCCCCGACCUCUCUCUGGACCUUCCGCUGCCCUGAGGUGCUGGGGUCGGGGCAAGAAAACAUGACCCAUUCUGGACUCGUCAGCAGCUCCAAGGAAUGAGGACUUGACAUCCCCUUUAGUCUGUUUCCAAGACCCCAAAGUGCCAUGGUGUUUUGUGCUCACCCAAGGGAGAGGGUCAUGAGGACCCAGGAGCCCUUCCCCACUGACCCCCCAGCACCAGUGUCCCCAGAACAUCAGGAUGCUGCUGGAGGUGACUGUCCCGGUGCCGGUUCCCCUGUGGAGACCCCCCUGGCUGCUCUCAGCCUCACCCAAUGCCCUUCUUGGCCCUGCUGGACACAGAGCUGCAGACAGAGAUGAAGGAGACAGCGGUAGCCGCAGGCAUUACCCAAUGCAACCCCCAGCCCCCGCCCCUGCCCACGUUGCAUCACAGCCGACCCGAGGAGCCGCAGCUCCCAGAGGAAGACACGGUGGGGCCGAUGCAGAUGCAGCUGGAGAUACAGCCUGGUCUCCCUCCUCUGGGUCAGGUCUCCGGCGCCCUCCCGCCGGCCUGCAGGGCUGCAUUAGGAUGGGGAGUUUGAGCUCAGUUAGAGACCAGCCCCAGAAACGCAGAGAGAGGGUGCAGCGCCGUCCACAGCCCUCUCCCCGCUCUCUCUCCUCCCCUGCCCGCACAGCCAGCAGCCUGGUCCAGCUCUCUGCGUCCCAUCGCCAGGGUAGUAUCCUCCAGGUCUGCGAGCGACAGCAAAUGCACGCGGAUCUGCAGCAAUCUCAAUUCUUGCCUCCUCAGAAGAAAAAUUCAGCUGAGGGGCAGAAGGCAGAAGGAGAGACUGAGGCAAGUUUUAGAGCAGGAGUGAACGAUUAUUAAAAAGCUUUAGAGGCCGGGUGUGGUGGUUCAUGCCUGUAAUCCCAGCACUGUGAGAGGCCAAGGCGGGAAGACCACUUGAGGCCAGGAGUUCAAGACCAGCCUGGCCAAUGUGGUAAAAUCCUGUCUCUACUAAAAAUACAAAAAUUAGACGGGCGUGGUGGCGCAUGCCUGUAAUCCCAGCUACUCGGGAGGCUGAGGCAGGAGAAUUGCUUGAACCCGGGAGGCGGAGGUUGCGGUGAGCCGAGAUUGCGCCACUGCACUCCAGCCUGGGUAACGGAGUGAGAACCUAUCUAAAAAUAAUAAUAAUAAAUAAAAAUAAGCAGCUUUAGAGCAGGAACAAAAUGAAGGCAAG